This 187-nucleotide microRNA precursor is filed under the name Oryza nivara. Its description in RNAcentral is "MIR812 microRNA precursor family". It matches the Rfam family "MIR812 microRNA precursor family". The record is from Rfam by way of RNAcentral. Lineage: Eukaryota; Viridiplantae; Streptophyta; Magnoliopsida; Poales; Poaceae.
AAAAAGACAAACUCUGGAUUUUCGUGUCCCGUUUGACUAUCCGUCUUAUAUGAAAUUUUUUUAUAAUUAAUAUUUUCAUUGUUGUCAGAUGAUAAAACAUGAUUAAUACUACUUGUCUUUUUAAUUUUUUUUCAUAUUUUUUUUAAAUAAGAUAAAUGGUUAAACGUUGGAAAAAAAAUCGAUGGUU